GGGGCCGUAGCUCAGCUGGGAGAGCACCUGCUUUGCAAGCAAGAGCACCUGCUUUGCAAGCA
RNAcentral lists this transfer RNA (62 nucleotides) under Bartonella sp. RT238SM. Its description in RNAcentral is "partial tRNA-Ala". Lineage: Bacteria; Pseudomonadati; Pseudomonadota; Alphaproteobacteria; Hyphomicrobiales; Bartonellaceae. The record is from RNAcentral.